RNAcentral lists this ribosomal RNA (253 nucleotides) under uncultured bacterium. RNAcentral describes it as "partial 16S ribosomal RNA". It matches the Rfam family "Bacterial small subunit ribosomal RNA", at positions 524 to 776 of the family's 1533-position model. The record is from RNAcentral.
UACAGAGGGUGCAAGCGUUAAUCGGAAUUACUGGGCGUAAAGCGCACGUAGGCGGUUUUUUAAGUCAGAUGUGAAAGCCCCGGGCUCAACCUGGGAAUUGCAUUUGAAACUGGGAAACUAGAGUGUGUGAGAGGGGGGUAGAAUUCCAAGUGUAGCGGUGAAAUGCGUAGAGAUUUGGAGGAAUACCAGUGGCGAAGGCGGCCCCCUGGCACAACACUGACGCUCAUGCACGAAAGCGUGGGGAGCAAACAGG